This is an RNA transcript of Marmota monax (woodchuck), 7663 nucleotides long. It is a transcript of the gene named aminoadipate aminotransferase, with no coding region annotated. The transcript has 15 exons. The record is from RefSeq and is a predicted model, not a curated record. NCBI's taxonomy places the organism in Eukaryota, Metazoa, Chordata, Mammalia, Rodentia, Sciuridae.
AGAUCAGGAUCGUGGCGGACCUCUGGGUCCCUCCAGCCUCUUAACUUCCGAGGGACAAGUCUGCACCAAUCUGGACGCUGUGUUGGGGCAACUUCCAACCGCAAGAGAGUCCUGCAAGUCCUGAACCACUGACGAAGGAAGGAGCUGGGUGCUUGGCCAUCAGAGGCAUGAAUUACGCACGGUUCAUAACCGCCAGGAGCGCAGUCAGAAAGACUUCUCCCAUCAGAGCCACGGCUGAUAUUGUGAGCAAGGCACCAAAAUCACUCAUCUCCCUGGCUGCUGGAACUCCAAAUGCAAAUAUGUUCCCCUUUAAGAGUGCUGUUAUCACUGUAGAAAAUGGAAAUUCCAUCAAGUUUGGAGAAGAGAUGAUGAAGGAAGCACUUCAGUAUUCUCCAUCUUCUGGACUUCCGAAACUUGUAUCCUGGCUAAAACAGUUACAAAUAAAAUUGCAUAAUCCUCCCACCAUUCAUUAUCCACCCAGUCAAGGAAAAAUGGAUUUAUGUGUCACAUCUGGCUCCCAAGAUGGUCUUUGUAAGAUAUUUGAAAUGCUUGUUGAUCCUGGAGACAACAUCCUCCUAAAUGAACCUGCUUAUUCAGCAACCAUUCAAGCUCUGCUACCGCUGGGCUGCAACAUUAUUAAUGUUCCCAGCGAUAAAUAUGGGAUUAUUCCAGACUCCCUCACAGAAAUACUUUGCAAAUGGAAACCAGAAGAUUCAAAGGACCCCAAGAAAAACACCCCCAAAUUUCUAUACACUGUCCCAAAUGGCAACAACCCAACUGGAAAUUCACUGAGAGGUGACCGAAAAAAGAAAAUCUAUGAGCUUGCAAGAAAAUAUGAUUUCCUCAUAAUAGAAGAUGAUCCUUACUAUUUUCUCCAGUUUAACAAGCCCUGGGAACCAACAUUUCUUUCCAUGGAUGUUGAUGGGCGUGUCAUCAGAGCUGACACCUUCUCAAAAGUCCUGUCCUCUGGGUUGAGGGUAGGGUUCCUAACUGGCCCAAAACCCUUGAUAGAGAGAAUUCUUUUACACAUUCAAGUUUCAUCCCUACACCCCUGCACUUUCUCACAGUUCAUGGUGUUAGAGCUUCUGCAGCAGUGGGGAGAAGAGGGCUUCCUGGCUCAUGUACAGAGGGUCACUGAUUUCUACAGGAGCCAGAGGGAUGCAGUAUUGGCCGCUGCAGACAAGUGGCUAAGUGGUUUGGCAGAAUGGAAUGUUCCCGUUGCCGGAAUGUUCUUAUGGAUUAAAAUGAAAGGCAUUCCCGACACAGAACAACUGAUUAAAGAAAAAGCCCUUAAGAAAGAGGUCUUAAUGCUUCCUGGAAAUGCUUUCUAUGUCGACAGCUCGGCCCCUAGCCCUUACUUCAGAGUAUCCUUCUCUUCAGUCUCUCCAGAGCAGAUGGAUGUGGCUUCUGUAGAUAAAAGAGACGAAACUGGAGUUCAAGUUUGCUGUCUUCAUGAUGAACCUUUCAGAACCUAAUGAGCAGUCCCAGAAAGUUCCCAACUUGUCAUGGGGAAAACCCGUUUCCUUUCGUCACAAAGUUACCACGCAUGAGAAGUACAAAUUCAUCAUAUCCUUCACUCUCCUUCUCUGAAGAAAAUAGCAUCAGCCUUCCAGAGACUAGCUCAACUUAUAAAAGAAAAUUUAUGAAGAAAUCAAACUGAUUAUAGUACUCAUAGAUUUUCCAGAUAAAUUAUUUUUGUGUUUAUUUGUAAGAAAUGAACAUUGACGUUGGACUUCUAGAUUGGACUCCAUCAAAUGUGUCAUGUCUGUGUAUGUCCUAUUUUAACUAGACAAGUUUUGAAGUGCCUUUAAGUCCAUCCGAUAGCCAAAAUAUAUUUAGAAUUUACUUAUAGCUUCUGAUUAAUUUUUAACCUGCAAAAAAAUAUUUUUAUCUUGAAUUUUAUUGUGAAGUGCUCAGUAGUUGCUUUAUAAUAUCCUGUAAAUCUUCGAAACCAAACACAUUAUUUGUAAUUUUAAAGAAAUAAGUUCAAAAUGGUAUAUAAGGUAUAUUUUUUUCUAUUUUUAGGGAAAUUUAGUGAUAGUUUAUUAUAAAAAUUGUUCUAAUUUGACCAUUAUAAUUAUAAUUAAUCCUUUGGUAAGAAUACCAUAGACAUUAUCAUAUGCUCCAGACAUCCCUUUAAAAUAAAAUUCUGGAAUUAACAUACCUGAAGGCAUUAGGCCUAUUAAUUCUAAGUAAGGAGGGGAAAUCAUGGGCAUAGGAAAAUUUACUACAUUGUAUUUUCAUGAUACUACAUAAUUUACAAAAGCACAUUCUUAUCAGUUAUGUCACUGAAAUCUACUACAACCCUUUGAGGUAUUAGGAUAUAUUUUUUAAAUCAUUAUUUUCCCAUCCAAUUAUUAAAGGAACAUAUUCUUUUUUAAAAAAUAUCUUUAUUUUAUUUAUUUAUUUUUAUGUGGUGCUGAGGAUUGAGCCCAGUGCCUCAUGCAUAAGAGGCAAGCACUCUACCACUGAGCUACAACCCAGCCCUAAAGUAACAUAUUCUUAUCCUAAACUUUCAAACAAUAUAGAAAGUGUGAGGAAUAAAGUAAAAGCCACUCACUCUCUCACCCCCAUUGAUAAUUGCCAUCAGCAUCGAUCACUUUUCUUUCAAGAUGCUUUCCUAUGCAUGCACAUUGUGAUAUCUAAAACACUGGCACUCAUUGUGACAGUGCAUCAUAAAUACCCUGUAUUAGUUUUCUAUCACUGUUUAACAAAUCAACACUGUGUUUCAAGAUCCAGCAAUUGUAAACUUAUGGGUUCCUUUGAGGAACUGGAAGUUUAUGUCCUUAUUAUUUAUUCUACCCCUUGUGUAUAUGAAUAUCUCCAUGAUACUUAUUGUUGACUUGGCAUCUGGGUGAAAUGUCACAUCAUCUUCUACCUCAAAGGUCAAAGCACCUGGCCCCAAGUCCAAAUCCUUAUUUCUGAGGCAACUGGUCACAGCUCUUUAGAAGAGAUUAAAGAGACUCAGGGCCUAAAGGAUGGCCAAAAUGAAGACCUAACAAUCCCCUUAACUGGGAGAAGAGGAAAGUAUAAAUUAGACUUAUGGAGAUAAAAUAAGCCUUCUACUUACUUCAUUUAGUAAUUUUCAGCACUAACAAAGAUGUCCCAGCCCAGCACUACAUACGCGAGUCCUGCAGCUUCUAAGAAAUUCUACUCUCAUUCAGUACAAAGAUGAUCCAGUCUUUCAUCCUCUCACUGAAGAGUGCCCUGAAAUGGACUCAUCUUACAUUUUUUUUUACAGCAAUUUGCGCAUAAAGAUCAGAAGGUUGUGACAACAGCCAUUAGGGGAUAAUACUAAGAAACUAGAGUACACUCUUUGACAGGCAUCUCCACAAACUUAACUAAUCAAAAUUAAACAAUACUACGUUUAUGUAACAAAGGUAGCUCAGCCACACUCAAGUCCAGCUGAUCAGAGUCUUUUUUCAGGGCAUGAUAAUGAUUAAGAGGUAUCAUUUUGGUAAUUAGCGUAUUAACACAGGUCACAGUAAUCUGGACAUCCACAAAGAGAAACGUGAACAUUAGAAAAGUCUGGAAUGCCACACUUCGGGAUGCCUGCAAACCAACUGUCAGCUGCUCCCAUAAAUACAUUAGGAGUUCCUUCUCCCUGAGAAAUGUCCUAAUUUAGUUAGUGGUAGCGUCUAGAGAAACAGUCAUCUCAGCCACCUUUUAGAUUAAGUUUUCUGUAGUAGUAAAAUCAGAAGAAAAAUAGGUACAAUAUUCAAUUUUGUUCAUCACAAAUAUUAUACAAGCCCCCAACAUGGGCAAAGAGAUCUAAAGAUGCGUGAUGUUCCACUAAAUGUGUGUCAAACAUGUAUAAUCUCAUUUACUUUUUGGAGAAUGGCUUCUAAGUAGAACUUCUAAGUAGAACUGAACGCCAGAGAGACCUGAUUGACUACAAAAUCCAAGAUUUACCCUAACUUGCAGAGUAGCUUCAAAUUCCAUAUGACUAGAUUCUGCUGGCUGACCAGAGUAAUUCCAUAGGAACCCUAUGGGAACCUUUCCUCAGUGGAAACUAACUUAUCUUCAUCUAUUUCAAGGUUGGCACUAAUUUUAGUUACUGACUGCUUUGCCCUCUGAUGAUGGAAUAUUAUCCAGAAGCCAAGACAAGGCAGAUGGCAAGAUCCAAACCAACAAAGGAGGCAAAACAGGAAGCAAAUUCUCUAUAGACCCAAUACAGGCCCUCAGGGAAUGGAAAAGAGGGCCACCUAGUGGCGUUUGCGUAGAAAUCAGUCAAAUUUGUUCACCCAUGAGUCUAUGCAGCUCUUAAACAAGGUCCAAUGGAAAUUUACUUUUAUGCCGUCUCCAUAUAGCAUGCUAUAAUAGUACAUAACAACAUUUAGUAGAAAGGGACCUUACUAGACCUAAUUCAGUGACAUUAUACAAGCAAUUAUUUGUACCUACAUAAGUAGUCCCUUGGUCUUGACUGUGCAAUACCUAGCAAUACAUACCUUUUGCAGGCAUCACUUGGAUAGGUUUUCCAUAUUUGAUAGUGAACAGGUUACUAAUAGAAAGGUCAGGGUAGUAUUUCCAGUCAGCUUAAGAAACCAAGCAGUAGUGAUAUGUACAAUAUCACAGUCUUCCCUUUCCCUUUUGGGUUUUCAGAAUCAGUCUCACUGGGAACACAGAGGCUUAAUGUUAGGGAAAUUGUUCCUUGAAACAGUGGAAACUUCGAGGACUCAGGGAGGACCAGGUGGUUGACUGAGCCCUCUAUGAGUCCCUGCUGACCAUUGAAUUUAUAUCCUUUCAUAUACCAACUUUGUCAGGUACUAUUGCACUCUUUACUAAAUAGGUCAUCUGGGGAAGUUGAUACCACAUUUCCUUGAUAUUCAGGAUUAGUUCAUAGGUAGGGGCUUCAACAUUAACAAAGGCAAUCCAUAAGGGCAAUGGGAUAUCAGAAAGGAGUUCAUCUACUUGGACUCUAUUUUUUAUGUGGGUCCAACAACAAGAAGCAAGAAGCCAUUUUUGUUCCCACAACAUGCCAAAAUUGUGGACUACUCCAAAAAGCAUAUCUACUCUCUGCUAAACAUUUACAGAUUAGCUAUUCACAAACUUGGGUAAAAGCAAAAAUCCCUAAAGGCCAAUCCAACUUCCACUGAGGAAGAGUUCCCUUUUCUAUUGACUCAUCUUGGUUUAACAGGAGACCCUUAACUGAUAUUUUCCCAUUCAGCAAAAAAACAUGAACUCAGGAUUAUCCAAUGGGGCAUCUCACAAAUCAACCUGAGCAGCCACUAUUUCUCGGCCUACACUCAUACAAUUGUACUUUUCACCAUCAUCAGGUAGAAGUGAUAGGGUUAAGUUGCAACAUUUUAGAUGGACAGCAGGAGAAAGGAGAAGAAUCUCACCAAUUUCUAGUAGUCUACUGUUAAGAAAUGCUAAGUUUGGAAAUUAAUAGACUUUUCACAGCAAGUUGGACUUGCAUAUAAAGUUCAUUUCCUAAAACCCAUCUGGCUGCUGUUGCUUCUGUUUUAAAUAUUUAGGACAUGCCUUAGCUACUAGGUCUAAUUGCAGACUGAUGCAAGAUGGGUCUAUGUUGUCCCCCACAUUCAUGGGUAAGAAUGCCUGAUUGUUACACUCAUGAAUUAACAAGGUAAAGAUUUAGAAUAGUUUGAAAUUCCUAAGGCUGAGGCCUGUUGUAAGGUCAGCUUCAUUUAGUUAGAGCCUGCUUAUAAGUGUCUUCCCUUAUUAAAGGCUCUGGAACUGUAUUGCUAGUAAGCUCACAGAAUGGUAAGGCUGUUAGGGGAAAUUUGGGGACCCAAGAACUGCAGUAUUCUGCAAGUCCAAGAAAACCUCUUAAUUGUCUUUGGUUGUAGGCCAGGGGAAAGUGAAUAGGUUUUGUUCUCUCAAGCAACACAGAAAUCCCUUUGGGAGUCGGGUCAUGUCCUGAAUAGUGGACUUUUCCAAUUAAAAAUUGGAACUUUUCCAUCAAAACCUUCUGAUCUUUAUGUACAAAUUGCUGUAAAAGGUAAGAUGAGUCCAUUUCAGGGCACUGUUCAGUGGGGGAGAGUAACACUGAAAUCAUCUUUGUACCGAAUGAGACUAGAAUUUCUAAGAAACUGCAGGACUGUGAGGUCCUGAUGCAAUUACUGGAGAAAAGAAAGCAGCUUCAGUAAGCCCCAGGGUGAUACAGUCCAGGUAUUCUAUUGACUUUUCCAAGAACACACAAAUACUGGACCUCUUUCUCAAUAAGGAUACUAAGGAAAGCAAAGGUCUGUUACUGUUCAAAGGUCUGUUACUGUGUACCAUUUAGGUUUUAUGUUUUGGGGGUUGGUUUGGAUUUUUGUUUUGUUUUGUUUGGGUUUUUUUCAUUUGUUUGUUUGUUGCAUGGGUUGGUUGGGUGGUGGUUUGGUCUUUGCUAUUUCUUCUCAUGACAGAAUGUUUAUUAUUGUUUAUUAUUUUAUGCCAGUAUAUCUGGUGCAGGUUCAAUUCUUCAGAAAAUAGUAUGAACAAUACAAACAUUAUUAUCAUACUUGUAAUUUUUAAGUUUUCAUAACUGAACCGCCAGUUCAUAAUAUAGAUGCUGUUAUUUGAGUGAAGCACAUUUAUUAAAUAGACAUGUGAAAACAUUUUAGUAUAAACUGACAAGAUUUAAGUCAAAAAGACUGUAGGCUGAUUCGCAUGUGCCAUUUUGAAUCAGUGAUAUUUGACAAGAAGGUAUUAGUGUUUGGAACUACAAGAAACCUCAGUAUCACAAUUUGAUAAGUUACUUGAGAAUCUUGAAGGCAUUUCCAAACGUGUCCAGUUGGCUCUUUAACUAAUAGGACUGGAGUGUCACAAGGACUGGUGCAUGGAAUUGCGAGUUCCUGUUGGUUUAAGUUCUCUACAAUUGAGGAAAGUCCUUGAAUUGCUUCAGGCUUUAGUGUAUUUUGGAUUAACUCAGGCAAAGGGUUAGAAUGAUCUAUUUAGUCUUUAAUGGGCUCCACACAUUUAACCUUCCUCUAUCAGUAGAAAAAGAAGUUCAUAAAUAAUCCUAUAUAUUAGAAAGAUCCAGAGCAUUGCAGCCCUGAGUUUGAAUUUACCAAUUUCUGUCUAUAGAGAGCACAGUAGUUCUGGUUGCAUACAGUUGGGAAAUCCUGAGAUUAUAUAAACCUCUGAAGAGAAUGUUUUAUGCCCUUUUCAUUUAGGAAGUCAGUCUCACCCAGAAAGCUUACUGGAACAGUAUCACAUAGUAAAAAAAAAAAAAAAAAAAGGGCAUGUUUUUCUAAAAAUGUCCCUGAAGUCAAUUAGAUGGUUUCAGAUAGUGGGAACUUCUUACCUUGAUUGAAAAACCCCAAAAACAGAAAUGAUCAUUUUUUUUACUCUGAGGGAUUCUUUAAAGUGGAGCUUAUGGAAGGUAAAGUGGUCCCAGUAUAUACCAGAAUUGUGCAGGACCCCCCAAUCUGUACUUGGAGAGACAUAAGCUUGCUAGACUCGGGGGGUGGGGGGUGGUCUCUUACUCUUAAAUCCUCUCAAAAUGCUCAGCCAAUGCCACCAAUUCGACAAAACUCUCUAAGUUCUCAUCCUAGUUUUUCUUUUUUUAAUUUGGCUGCUAAGUUCAGGGGACGUCUACUUACAGACACACCGGUUACCACUGCAGUCCCUAGAGGAGAUGCCUCUUGCUCUAUUUCCAGAUUGGAUUGUUUUACAAGUACUAUUUCCUAAUAAACUCUAUAAUCUGAAACUGGUU